UGACAAGGAUGCAGAGCCUCUUGCGGCACUA
This 31-nucleotide non-coding RNA is filed under the name Mus musculus (house mouse). Lineage: Eukaryota; Metazoa; Chordata; Mammalia; Rodentia; Muridae. The record is from RNAcentral.